RNAcentral lists this ribosomal RNA (253 nucleotides) under uncultured bacterium. RNAcentral's name for it is "partial 16S ribosomal RNA". It matches the Rfam family "Bacterial small subunit ribosomal RNA", at positions 524 to 776 of the family's 1533-position model. The record is from RNAcentral.
UACGGGGGGGGCAAGCGUUGUUCGGAAUUACUGGGCGUAAAGGGCGCGUAGGCGGUUUGCUAAGUCGGAUGUGAAAACUCUGGGCUCAACCCAGAGCCUGCAUCCGAAACUGGCAGGCUAGAGCUCUGGAGGGGGUAGCGGAAUUCCUGGUGUAGCGGUGAAAUGCGUAGAUAUCAGGAGGAACACCGGUGGCGAAGGCGGCUACCUGGACAGAAACUGACGCUGAGGCGCGAAAGCUAGGGGAGCAAACAGG